CAGCAACGCCGCGUGGGGGAUGAAGCUUUUCGGAGUGUAAACCCCUUUCGACCCGGAAGAAAGCCCGCAAGGGUUUGACGGUACGGGUAUAAGAAGCCCCGGCUAACUACGUGC
This 114-nucleotide ribosomal RNA is filed under the name uncultured bacterium. RNAcentral's name for it is "partial 16S ribosomal RNA". It matches the Rfam family "Bacterial small subunit ribosomal RNA", at positions 389 to 508 of the family's 1533-position model. The record is from RNAcentral.